AUUGAACGCUGGCGGAAUGCUUUACACAUGCAAGUCGAACGGCAGCACGGGGGCAACCCUGGUGGCGAGUGGCGAACGGGUGAGUAAUACAUCGGAACGUGCCCGGUCGUGGGGGAUAACGUAGCGAAAGUUACGCUAAUACCGCAUACGAUCUGAGGAUGAAAGCGGGGGACCUUCGGGCCUCGCGCGAUCGGAGCGGCCGAUGUCAGAUUAGGUAGUUGGUGGGGUAAAGGCCUACCAAGCCGACGAUCUGUAGCUGGUCUGAGAGGACGACCAGCCCCACUGGAACUGAGACACGGCCCAGACUCCUACGGGAGGCAGCAGUGGGGAAUUUUGGACAAUGGGCGAAAGCCUGACCCAGCCAUUCCGCGUGCAGGACGAAGGCCUUCGGGUUGUAACCUGCUUUUGUAUGGAACGAAAAGGCUCUGGCUAAUACCUGGGGCUCAUGACGGUACCGUAAGAAUAAGCACCGGCGAACUACGU
This 483-nucleotide ribosomal RNA is filed under the name uncultured bacterium. Its description in RNAcentral is "partial 16S ribosomal RNA". It matches the Rfam family "Bacterial small subunit ribosomal RNA", at positions 30 to 506 of the family's 1533-position model. The record is from RNAcentral.